Molecule: ribosomal RNA, 255 nt
Filed under: uncultured bacterium
Lineage: Bacteria
Description: partial 16S ribosomal RNA
Rfam family: Bacterial small subunit ribosomal RNA
Source: RNAcentral
CGGACGGGUGAGUAACGCGUGGAUAACCUGCCUCAUACAGGGGGAUAACAGUUAGAAAUGACUGCUAAUACCGCAUAAGCGCACAGGACCGCAUGGUCCGGUGUGAAAAACUCCGGUGGUAUGGGAUGGAUCCGCGUCUGAUUAGCUGGUUGGUGAGGUAACGGCCCACCAAGGCGACGAUCAGUAGCCGGCCUGAGAGGGUGAACGGCCACAUUGGGACUGAGACACGGCCCAAACUCCUACGGAAGGCAGCAG